CUUAUGGAGAGUUUGAUCCUGGCUCAGGACGAACGCUGGCGGCAUGCCUAAUACAUGCAAGUCGAGCGAAUCACUAGGAGCUUGCUCCUUUUGAUUAGCGGCGGACGGGUGAGUAACACGUGGGCAAC
RNAcentral lists this ribosomal RNA (128 nucleotides) under Sporosarcina sp. BI001-red. RNAcentral's name for it is "Bacterial small subunit ribosomal RNA". It matches the Rfam family "Bacterial small subunit ribosomal RNA", at positions 1 to 125 of the family's 1533-position model. Lineage: Bacteria; Bacillati; Bacillota; Bacilli; Caryophanales; Caryophanaceae. The record is from Rfam by way of RNAcentral.